This 497-nucleotide long non-coding RNA is filed under the name Chrysolophus pictus (golden pheasant). Its description in RNAcentral is "lncRNA (ENSCPIG00010011850.1)". The record is from RNAcentral. Lineage: Eukaryota; Metazoa; Chordata; Aves; Galliformes; Phasianidae.
AAAAUACUUUUUUAUUUUUUUUCCCUAGGAAGUAUUUUAAAGAUUAGUAUUAAAUUACAGAAAAAAAAAAAAAGUAAUUCUAAUCAAAUCUGAAAGUUCAAAUUCUAAUUUAACUUAAAAAAAAACAAACAAAACAACCAACAACAGAAUUGUGUCAUUCUUCUUAUUUUCAGACUAGUUUAUCUCAGGAGGACUUUUACCAGUUGGUGUUUAUGAGCCACCUGGGCACUGGCAGUUGCUGAAACAAAACAGCUGAUCUGCAUCUGUGGACAGGUGAAGGACCCUCAGCUGAGAUAACUGAAGUAACUGAAGGAAAUAGGGAGACAACUACACACACUGGAAGCCGUGUAGUAGGAUUUGGCCAACUAGCAGACACAUUCAGUUGCACAAACACAAAGGAAGUACACAGGUGUUGGUGACAUCAGCAGCCUGGGUAUGUGAAUCAGGGCACAGAUGAAUCAGUGCAGACAGAAUUGAAAGCAGCUCAUUCCCCCAAC